GAUGAACGCUGGCGGUAUGCCUAACACAUGCAAGUCGUACGAGAGUUUUUAACUCUAGUGGCGGACGGGUGAGUAACACGUGAGAAUUUGCCUUUAGGAGGGGGACAACAAUUGGAAACGAAUGCUAAUACCCCAUAUGCUUUCGAGUGAAAUGGAUUUUAUCCGCCUAGAGAGAAGCUCGCGGCUGAUUAGCUUGUUGGUAAGGUAAGAGCUUACCAAGGCGACGAUCAGUAUCUGGUUUGAGAGGACGACCAGCCACACUGGAACUGAGACACGGACCCGACUCCUACGGGAGGCAGCAGUAAGGAAUAUUGGGCAAUGGACGGAAGUCUGACCCAGCCAUCCCGCGUGCAGGACGAAUGCCCUAUGGGUUGUAAACUGCUUUUGUUUGGGAAGAAAUGUAUUCUUUUAAGAGUAUUUGACGGUACCAGACGAAUAAGCACCGGCUAACUCCGUG
This 457-nucleotide ribosomal RNA is filed under the name uncultured bacterium. RNAcentral describes it as "bacterial SSU rRNA". It matches the Rfam family "Bacterial small subunit ribosomal RNA", at positions 28 to 507 of the family's 1533-position model. The record is from RNAcentral.